RNAcentral lists this long non-coding RNA (271 nucleotides) under Lathyrus oleraceus (garden pea). RNAcentral describes it as "Pisum sativum (pea) long non-coding RNA (PSAT_LNC018177)". Lineage: Eukaryota; Viridiplantae; Streptophyta; Magnoliopsida; Fabales; Fabaceae. The record is from RNAcentral.
UUUCCAUUUGAAGCUUGCAUCAUGAAAUCAGAGGGGUUUGAAUAGGCUUACUUUUGGUGAAAAAUUUCAAAGGUGACUUAAACAUGUUUUGUACCUAAAUUUUCACAGCCAGUUUUUAUUAAUUUCCAAAUGCCAAAUGAACUUUUUCCCAACAUGACUUUUGUUCCUUAUUUCAGGAGCUUUCCAACCAUUACUCACAUGACAUUUUUUGACUUACCAUUAGGGAGUUUCGAAGAGCUCUUCAUUUAUGUUCAUUUUGGCAUUUCAUGAU